UUACCCAUGUGCAAAGUGACAGAUAACCAAAAACAUUCAUUAUGGCAUGGGUUAUAACAGCAAAAUUCUAAAAAUGACCUAAACAAUUCAUCAGUGGGGGUUAAGAUAAACAAGUUAUUGUACAAUUCUACAAUGAAAUACUCUGAAUCUGUGAAGAGACUGAAGGUGUUCAGGGAUAAUAUGGAAUGGACACAUAGACAUCUGGAAAUACUAGCUGCCUCUGGGAGAACUAGGUGGCUGGAAAGGAAGAAAACUUCACUGACACACUUAGGAAAUUUUUAUAAUGACUGCAACCACAUAUUGACUCUAAAUGGAACCAGUGGAAGAACUGGCCAGCUUAACCCAGCAUAAUUGCUGAAACAAAAGAAUCACGCACAAGUAAAAUGGGUUUUAAGUUACUAAAUUUUGGGUAGAUUGUUAUGUAGCAAUCCGUGACCAAUAUGCCAGUCUUUUCUGAUGGCUAGUUGUAUUAAUUCAUAAUACAAAAAGAAAAGUGAAA
Neofelis nebulosa (Clouded leopard) is the source of this 499-nucleotide long non-coding RNA. RefSeq lists it as uncharacterized. The record is from RefSeq and is a predicted model, not a curated record. The transcript is spliced from 3 exons. Lineage: Eukaryota; Metazoa; Chordata; Mammalia; Carnivora; Felidae.